Molecule: long non-coding RNA, 294 nt
Organism: Sinocyclocheilus grahami
Lineage: Eukaryota; Metazoa; Chordata; Actinopteri; Cypriniformes; Cyprinidae
Exons: 3
Source: RefSeq, a predicted model, not a curated record
UCCUGAACAUUAUUUUUCCGGUGUUUAAAGAAAAGGAAUAGACUUUCUGUUUUUGAACAGGUGGCUAUUUGUUUGAUCUAAUUACCCUGCCAUAUCUGGACACUCCAACACCAGCCCAGUUCUACUGUGAGGGAUAAAAAAGGAGGAUGAAGAAACAAAGCUGUACGAAGAGACAGCAGAUGGGGUCGUCCUCCCAUUCUAAACCUAAGAAGAAGAAACAAGCCAAGAGACAAAACUGCCCCAAAUCAUCCGCAGGACAAAAAAACACUCAAAACAAAUCUCAACUUCCUGUUA